CUUGAUUCAAGGCAAACUUGCCGAAAGGUGAGGACGCAAAGUUUCAGACCUACGGCCGCAAGUUUGGCUAUGGUGGCUGAACCGCCGAA
Molecule: non-coding RNA, 89 nt
Filed under: Alicyclobacillus sp.
Lineage: Bacteria; Bacillati; Bacillota; Bacilli; Caryophanales; Alicyclobacillaceae
Description: c-di-GMP sequence
Rfam family: c-di-GMP-I riboswitch aptamer
About the family: GEMM was predicted in a large-scale screen for bacterial structured RNA regulatory elements. Genes associated with GEMM are involved in a diverse array of functions, including chemotaxis regulation, signal transduction, secretion and chitin.
Source: RNAcentral